RNAcentral lists this long non-coding RNA (1092 nucleotides) under Brassica napus (rape). Its description in RNAcentral is "long non-coding RNA (BNAP_LNC017746)". The record is from RNAcentral. Lineage: Eukaryota; Viridiplantae; Streptophyta; Magnoliopsida; Brassicales; Brassicaceae.
UUGCUCUUGAGAUAUAACAAAGGGAUAUCGCGAGUAUUGACCGAGCUUGAAUUAGAGAUUGGUGAAGCAGUGAAUCCAGCAGAAGUGAAGUUUUCGUUUUCAGGAUUGGUUCCAAUGUAAGAGACAAGAUAGUCUUUAAGAAGCGCCUUUGAUCCGAAACGGCUUACAUGAGAACUCGUCCCUGGUUCAGCAUCAGGACCUGUUCUUCUCUUUACAGCUUGGUAUUGCUGCUUCAAUGUCUCUUUACUCAUGUCAUGAAGCUCACUGUUCCCCCCCCAAAAAACACAAAACAGAGAAGUGUUUCUCAAAGUCUUGAAGAACAAUCAAAUCAUUUGAUAUUACAUACAGAUUUGAGUCUUUUUUUGGGUUGAAGUACCUGUCCUCAAGCCAAGAGACGCUAAAUGUAUCGCCGAGACAAACACCAUUAUAUUCAGGAGGAGGAGGAGGAUAUUCACCAGGACAGUAGAUUCCAAAACUGCUCUCUGUCGCAUUAGAAGCAGUUACUGCAAGUAUGUUUAGACUGGUCUUUAAAAUCCCUUCAAACAUACUUCCAGACUCACAUGCUUCAACAUAAAUCACCUAAACAUCACACACACACAGAAAACAACUCAAAGAUUCAAGAACAGAACACUAUAUAUAUAAAAAGAUGCUCGAACACACUAGAAAGGAUGUUUCUAGUUGGGGUUGAACCAACUCUCAGGCCAAGAGAGAGAGAUGACGAUGAAUGAGUUGAGUUAUUAGUACCAUCUUCUUGUAUCUUUUAAGCUUAUGCAUCUUCUCCAAGACUUUAAUGAAAUCUUUUGCAUGGAUAUCUUCACCAUCUGGCAUCGCUGAGAAUAAUAAACAUUGACCAAGAAAUCCUGAGAGAUAGAUAGUGAAACAUCAAAAACAUAUAUAUGUUUAUUAUUCAAUCUUGAAAGAUGAGACUUCACCUUGCUCUUGAGAUAUAACAAAGGGAUAUCGCGAGUAUUGACCGAGCUUGAAUUAGAGAUUGGUGAAGCAGUGAAUCCAGCAGAAGUGAAGUUUUCGUUUUCAGGAUUGGUUCCAAUGUAAGAGACAAGAUAGUCUUUAAGAAGCGCCUUUGAUCCGAAA